RNAcentral lists this ribosomal RNA (253 nucleotides) under uncultured bacterium. Its description in RNAcentral is "partial 16S ribosomal RNA". It matches the Rfam family "Bacterial small subunit ribosomal RNA", at positions 524 to 776 of the family's 1533-position model. The record is from RNAcentral.
UACGAAGGGGGCUAGCGUUGUUCGGAAUUACUGGGCGUAAAGCGCGUGUAGGCGGGCCUUUAAGUCAGGGGUGAAAUGCCAAGGCUCAACCUUGGAACUGCCUUUGAUACUGGAGACCUUGAGUCCGGGAGAGGUGAGUGGAAUUGCAAGUGUAGAGGUGAAAUUCGUAGAUAUUCGGAAGAACACCAGUGGCGAAGGCGGCUCACUGGCCCGGAACUGACGCUGAGAUACGAAAGCGUGGGGAGCAAACAGG